UUCCAGACUCCUACGGGAGGCAGCAGUGAGGAAUAUUGGUCAAUGGGCUUACGCCUGAACCAGCCAAGUCGCGUGAGGGAAGACUGCCCUAUGGGUUGUAAACCUCUUUUGUCAGGGAGCAACGCCGGCUACGUGUAGCCGGACUGAGAGUACCUGAAGAAAAAGCAUCGGCUAACUCCGUGCCAGCAGCCGCGGUAAUACGGAGGAUGCGAGCGUUAUCCGGAUUUAUUGGGUUUAAAGGGUGCGCAGGCGGGCUGUUAAGCCGGCGGUAAAAAUUCAGGGCUCAACCCUGUCGAGCCGUCGGAACUGGCAGUCUUGAGUGGGCGAGAAGUAUGCGGAAUGCGUGGUGUAGCGGUGAAAUGCAUAGAUAUCACGCAGAACUCCGAUUGCGAAGGCAGCAUACCGGCGCCCAACUGACGCUGAAGCACGAAAGCGUGGGUAUCGAACAGGAUUAGAUACCCCAGUA
This 466-nucleotide ribosomal RNA is filed under the name uncultured bacterium. Its description in RNAcentral is "bacterial SSU rRNA". It matches the Rfam family "Bacterial small subunit ribosomal RNA", at positions 329 to 792 of the family's 1533-position model. The record is from RNAcentral.